AGCCAUGCAUGUCUAGUUCAUAUCGAAAUAAAGAUGAAACUGCGAAGGGUCAGUAAAUCAGUUAUCGUCCGCUCGAUCAUUUAAACCAUGGAUAACUGUGGUAAAUCUAGAGCUAAUACAUGCAAAUCCAGUGGUGGCAACAUUGCUGGAGCAUUUAUUGGACAUACCAACAGGGGCGCAAGUCCCUGCAGGUGAAUCUAGAUAACUGUGCAUAUCGUAUGACUCGCGUCGGCGAUAGUUCGAUCGAAUUUCUGCCCUAUCAACUAGUUGGUUGGGUAGUGGCCAACCAAGGUUGUGACGGGUAACGGUGAAUCAGGGUUCGAUUCCGGAGAGGACGUAGACCGUAUGCCUACCUCAUCUAAGGAAGGCAGCAGGCGCGCAAAUUACCCAAUCCAGACAUUGGGAGGUAGUGACGAGAAAUACCAAAGUGUGCCUUUUGGUUCACUAUUGGAAUGAACGUAACACAGUACCUUCGAUGAGUACCAACUGGAGGGCAAGUCUGGUGCCAGCAGCCGCGGUAAUUCCAGCUCCAGUAGUGUAUAUCAAAAUUGUUGCGGUUAAAACGCUCGUAGUUGGAUUACAAAAGUCGGGCGUCAGCUUAGUACUUACUUGGUUGCCGUCGUGCUUUUUUAUCGCAAUAACUCACUCGUGCAUUUCAACCACUGUGCGGUUUACCGCUUGUCUGAGUGUCGCCUUGAACGUACAAUCAGAGUGCUCAUAGUGUAUGCUGUAACGCUCGACAGUUGGGUUUAAGUUCAUCGUCGACCAGCAUGUGUCACCUGACCGCCGGUUACGGUUGUUGGUUAUCGUGAUUGCCGGGUCAUUGAUUAAGAGGGAGCAUUUGGGGGCGUUGGUAUUUGGCGGCGAGAGGUGAAAUAUCUAUGGACCUGCUCAAGGGCUCACUAAUGCGAAAGCAUUCUGCCAAGAGUGUUUUCAUUGAUCAAGAACGAAAGUUAGAGGUUCGAAGACGAUCAGAUACCGUCCUAGUUCUAUACAGUAAACUAUGCCACCACGGGAUCAGUCCGGGGAACUGCAUCCAGGUUGGUCCCUCAAGGAAACUCCAAGAUUUCGGGUUCCUGGGGGAGUACGGUCGCAAGUCUGAAACUUAAAGGAAUUGACGGAAGGGCACCACCAGGAGUGGAGCCUGCGGCUUAAUUUGACUCAACACGGGACAACUCACCAGGUCCAGACAUUGAAAGGAUUGACAGACUGAUAGAUCUUUCAAGAUCCAAUGAUUGGUGGUGCAUGGCCGUUCUUAGUUGGUGGAGCGAUCUGUCAGGUCUAUUCCGGUAACGAGCGAGACCACGAUCUCUAGUUGAUUACGGCUUCUUUGGAGUGGCUGAUCCUAGAGAGACAACCGGAAUACAAGCCGGAGCAUUUAUUGGACAUAGCCAACAGGGGGGCGGAAACGCAACCUUGAAGGUGAAUCUAGAUAACUGUGCAUAUCGUAUGGUCUUGUACCGGCGAUAGUUCGAUCGAAUUUCUGCCCUAUCAACUAGUUGGUUGGGUAGUGGCCAACCAAGGUUGUGACGGGUAAGGUUCACUAUUGGAAUGAACGUAACAUAGUACCUUCGAUGAGUACCUACUGGAGGGCAAGUCUGGUGCCAGCAGCCGCGGUAAUUCCAGCUCCAGUAGUGUAUAUCAAAAUUGUUGCGGUUAAAACGCUCGUAGUUGGAUUACAAAAGUUUGGCGCUAGUCAAGCAAGCACAAU
Molecule: ribosomal RNA, 1711 nt
Filed under: Ellipsomyxa ariusi
Lineage: Eukaryota; Metazoa; Cnidaria; Myxozoa; Bivalvulida; Ceratomyxidae
Description: SSU rRNA
Rfam family: Eukaryotic small subunit ribosomal RNA
Source: RNAcentral